This 467-nucleotide ribosomal RNA is filed under the name uncultured bacterium. Its description in RNAcentral is "bacterial SSU rRNA". It matches the Rfam family "Bacterial small subunit ribosomal RNA", at positions 62 to 524 of the family's 1533-position model. The record is from RNAcentral.
UCGAGCGGUAGAGAGAAGCUUGCUUCUCUUGAGAGCGGCGGACGGGUGAGUAAUGCCUAGGAAUCUGCCUGGUAGUGGGGGAUAACGUUCGGAAACGGACGCUAAUACCGCAUACGUCCUACGGGAGAAAGCAGGGGACCUUCGGGCCUUGCGCUAUCAGAUGAGCCUAGGUCGGAUUAGCUAGUUGGUGAGGUAAUGGCUCACCAAGGCGACGAUCCGUAACUGGUCUGAGAGGAUGAUCAGUCACACUGGAACUGAGACACGGUCCAGACUCCUACGGGAGGCAGCAGUGGGGAAUAUUGGACAAUGGGCGAAAGCCUGAUCCAGCCAUGCCGCGUGUGUGAAGAAGGUCUUCGGAUUGUAAAGCACUUUAAGUUGGGAGGAAGGGCAGUAAAUUAAUACUUUGCUGUUUUGACGUUACCGACAGAAUAAGCACCGGCUAACUCUGUGCCAGCAGCCGCGGUAAU